Molecule: ribosomal RNA, 974 nt
Filed under: Vittaforma corneae
Lineage: Eukaryota; Fungi; Microsporidia; Nosematidae
Description: SSU rRNA
Rfam family: Microsporidia small subunit ribosomal RNA
Source: RNAcentral
AAAAUGUAGCUAAGGGAAGGCAGAAUAAGACGCAGGACUAUCAGUUAGUUGGUAGUGUAAUGGACUACCAAGACAGUGACGGUUGACGGGAAAUUAGGGUUUUGUACCGGAGAGGGAGCCUGAGAGAUUGCUCCCACGUCCAAGGACGGCAGCAGGCGCGAAAAUUGCCCACUCUUUGCAGGAGGCAGUUAUGAGACGUGAAGAUGAGUAUCUUGUAAAGAGGGAUAGGAGAAUUGGAGGGCAAGUUUGGUGCCAGCAGCCGCGGUAAUACCGACUCCAAGAGUGUGUAUGAGAGAUGCUGCAGUUAAAAAGUCCGUAGUCAUAGAAGGGCAAGAGAGAUGCGAGGUCUCACAGUGCGAUGAUGGAGGAGCCGAUGGGGAACAUAGUAUACCAGGGCGAGAGAUGAAAUGCCAAGACCCCUGGUGGACUGAGCGAGGCGAAGGCGAUGUUCUUGUAGGCAUUCGGUGAUCAAGGACGAAGGCUGGAGUAUCGAAAGUGAUUAGAUACCGCAGUAGUUCCAGCAGUAAAAGAUGCCGACAUGCUCAUUGGACACAGUGGGCAGGGAGAAAUCUUAGAGUUCGGGCUCUGGGGAUAGUAUGCUCGCAAGGGUGAAAAUUAAAGAAAUUGACGGAGCUACACCACAAGGAGUGGAUUGUGCGGCUUAAUUUGACUCAACGCGAGGAAACUUACCAGGGCCAAGUAUUGUGUAGAAACGAGCAAUACAGGAGUGGUGCAUGGUCGUUGGAAAUUGAUGGGAUGACUUUGACCUUAAAUGGUUGAAUGAGUGAGAUCUUUUGGACAUGUUCCGCACGGAACAGGAAGGAAAAGGCUAUAACAGAUCCGAGAUGCCCUCAGAUGCCCUGGGCUGCACGCGCAAUACAAUAGCAGGUAGAGAGAGAGACAGGAAGGUGCUCAGAUGGACUAUGUGCUGUAAGGCACAUACGAAAGAGGAAUUCCUAGUAAGUGUGUAUCAA